RNAcentral lists this ribosomal RNA (29 nucleotides) under uncultured Leucogastraceae. Its description in RNAcentral is "partial 18S ribosomal RNA". The record is from RNAcentral. Lineage: Eukaryota; Fungi; Basidiomycota; Agaricomycetes; Boletales; Leucogastraceae.
GUUCGUGGGUGACCUGCGGAGGAUCAUUA